UCAAGUGACUAAGUGCAUGUGGCGGAUGCCUUGGCGAUCACAGGCGAAGAAAGACGCGGCAGCCUGCGAAAAGCUGCGGGGAGCUGGCAAACGAGCUUUGAUCCGCAGAUAUCUGAAUGGGGGAACCCACACCGCAAGGUGUAUCCGUGACUGAAUACAUAGGUUACGGAGGCGAACGAGGAGAACUGAAACAUCUAAGUAUCCUCAGGAAAAGAAAUCAACCGAGAUUCCGGCAGUAGCGGCGAGCGAACCCGGAGGAGCCUAGCUUUUGAUAGUACGAACUUUAGCCGAAAGGUCCUGGAAAGGCCUGCUAUAGUGGGUGAUAGCCCCGUAGGCGAAAGAGUUCGUACGGUACUAAGGAAGCGAGAAGUAGAGCGGGACACGUGGAAUCCUGUUCGAAGAUGGGGGGACCAUCCUCCAAGGCUAAAUACUCGUGAUCGACCGAUAGUGAACCAGUACCGUGAGGGAAAGGCGAAAAGAACCCCGGGAGGGGAGUGAAAUAGAACCUGAAACCGCAUGCAUACAAACAGUAGGAGCCUCGUCAGAGGUGACUGCGUACCUUUUGCAUAAUGGGUCAGCGACUUACAUUCUGUGGCGAGCUUAACCGAAUAGGGGAGGCGCAGCGAAAGCGAGUUCGAAAUGAGCGUCCAGUCGCAGGGUGUAGACCCGAAACCAGAUGAGCUAUCCAUGGCCAGGUUGAAGGUGUGGUAACACACACUGGAGGACCGAACCGACUAGUGUUGCAAAAUUAGCGGAUGAGCUGUGGAUAGGGGUGAAAGGCCAAACAAAUCUGGAGAUAGCUGGUUCUCCCCGAAAACUAUUGAGGUAGUGCCUCGUGUGUCGCUCCAGGGGGUAGAGCACUGUUUUGGCUAGGGGGACAUGGAGUCUUACCAAACCAAGGCAAACUCCGAAUACCUGGAAGCGUAAGCACGGGAGACAGAGCACCGGGUGCUAACGUCCGGACUCAAAAGGGAAACAACCCAGACCGCCGGCUAAGGUCCCCAAUAACAGCUAAGUGGAAAACGAAGUGGAAAGGCCGUGACAACCAGGAAGUUGGCUUAGAAGCAGCCAUCCUUCAAAGAAAGCGUAAUAGCUCACUGGUCGAGUCCUUCUGCGCGGAAGAUGUAACGGGGCUAAGCUGUUAACCGAAGCCGCGGAUGCACUGAUUAUUCAGUGCGUGGUAGGGGAGCGUUCUGUAAGUCUGCGAAGGCGGUUCGAGAGGACUGCUGGAGAUAUCAGAAGUGCGAAUGCUGACAUGAGUAACGUUAAAGCAGGUGAAAAGCCUGCUCGCCGUAAGCCCAAGGAUUCCUGCUCUACGUUCAUCGGAGCAGGGUGAGUCGGCUCCUAAGGUCAGGCCGAAAGGCGUAGCCGAUGGGAAUCAGGUUAAUAUUCCUGAACCUGCGUCAGAUGCGAUGGGGGGACGGAGCAUGAAAGAUCAUCCGGGUGUUGGAUGUCCCGGUUGACGAGCGUAGGAGGUCUGCAGGCAAAUCCGCAGACGCAUCUCCAAGGCGAAGUCACGUGCCGCCACGGCGGCGAAGUGAUCGGAAGUGCUUCCAAGAAAAGCCUCUAAGCACCAGUCUGGCGCGGACCGUACCGCAAACCGACACUGGUGGGCGAGCUGAAUAUGCUCAGGCGCUUGAGAGAACUCGGGAGAAGGAACUCGGCAAAUUGACACCGUAACUUCGGAAGAAGGUGUGCCGUAGUAGCGUGAGAGGAGAGACACCUUGAGCGUGAAUCGGUCUCAGAGAAUAGGUGGCUGCGACUGUUUAUUAAAAACACAGCACUCUGCAAAGUCGAAAGACGACGUAUAGGGUGUGAUGCCUGCCCGGUGCUGGAAGAUUAAUUGAUGGGGUGAGAGCCCUUGAUCGAAGUCCCAGUAAACGGCGGCCGUAACUAUAACGGUCCUAAGGUAGCGAAAUUCCUUGUC
RNAcentral lists this ribosomal RNA (1927 nucleotides) under metagenome. RNAcentral describes it as "bacterial LSU rRNA". It matches the Rfam family "Bacterial large subunit ribosomal RNA", at positions 3 to 1973 of the family's 2925-position model. The record is from RNAcentral. RNAcentral also lists the same sequence under 1 other name.